RNAcentral lists this ribosomal RNA (564 nucleotides) under uncultured Phialocephala. RNAcentral's name for it is "eukaryotic LSU rRNA". It matches the Rfam family "Eukaryotic large subunit ribosomal RNA", at positions 43 to 631 of the family's 3401-position model. The record is from RNAcentral. Lineage: Eukaryota; Fungi; Ascomycota; Leotiomycetes; Helotiales.
UCAAUAAGCGGAGGAAAAGAAACCAACAGGGAUUACCUCAGUAACGGCGAGUGAAGCGGUAACAGCUCAAAUUUGAAAGCUGCCAACAGGCCGCGUUGUAAUUUGUAGAAGCUGCUUUGGGUGUCGGCCCGGUCUAAGUUCCUUGGAACAGGACGUCAUAGAGGGUGAGAAUCCCGUAUGUGAUCGGUGCCGUUGCCCGUGUAAAGCGCUUUCGACGAGUCGAGUUGUUUGGGAAUGCAGCUCAAAAUGGGUGGUAAAUUUCAUCUAAAGCUAAAUAUUGGCCAGAGACCGAUAGCGCACAAGUAGAGUGAUCGAAAGAUGAAAAGCACUUUGGAAAGAGAGUUAAACAGUACGUGAAAUUGUUGAAAGGGAAGCGCUUGCAACCAGACUUGCGGGCGGUCGAUCAUCCGAGGUUCUCCCCGGUGCACUCGAUCGUUCUCAGGCCAGCAUCGGUUUCCGGGGUGGGAUAAAGGCGGUGGGAAUGUGGCUCUUCGGAGUGUUAUAGCCCACCGUGCAAUGCCGCCACUGGGGACCGAGGACCGCGCUUCGGCUAGGAUGCUGGCG